Molecule: ribosomal RNA, 442 nt
Filed under: uncultured bacterium
Lineage: Bacteria
Description: partial 16S ribosomal RNA
Rfam family: Bacterial small subunit ribosomal RNA
Source: RNAcentral
CCUACGGGGAGCAGCAGUGGGGAAUAUUGGGCAAUGGAGGCAACUCUGACCCAGCAAUGCCGCGUGAGUGAUGAAGGUAAUUUUAUUGUAAAGCUCUUUUCUUUGGAACGAAUAAAUGACGGUACCAAAGGAAUAAGCCCCGGCUAACUACGUGCCAGCAGCCGCGGUAAUACGUAGGUGGCAAGCGUUAUCCGGAUUUAUUGGGUGUAAAGGGCGUGUAGGCGGGAAAGCAAGUCAGAUGUGAAAACUCAGGGCUCAACCCUGAGCCUGCAUUUGAAACUGUUUUUCUUGAGUGCUGGAGAGGCAAUCGGAAUUCCGGGUGUAGCGGUGAAAUGCGUAGAUAUACGGAGGAACACCAGUGGCGAAGGCGGAUUGGUGGGGGGGAACUGACGCUGAGGCGCGAAAGCGUGGGGAGCAAACAGGAUUAGAUACCCUAGUAGUC